UGANGANUAUUGGUCAAUGGGCGAGAGCCUGAACCAGCCAAGUAGCGUGCAGGAUGACGGCCCUAUGGGUUGUAAACUGCUUUUGUAUGGGGAUAAAGUCAAUCACGUGUGAUUGUUUGCAGGUACCAUACGAAUAAGGACCGGCUAAUUCCGUGCCAGCAGCCGCGGUAAUACGGAAGGUUCGGGCGUUAUCCGGAUUUAUUGGGUUUAAAGGGAGCGUAGGCCGGAGAUUAAGUGUGUUGUGAAAUGUAGACGCUCAACGUCUGACUUGCAGCGCAUACUGGUUUCCUUGAGUACGCACAACGUUGGCGGAAUUCGUCGUGUAGCGGUGAAAUGCUUAGAUAUGACGAAGAACUCCGAUUGCGAAGGCAGCUGACGGGAGCGCAACUGACGCUGAAGCUCGAAGGUGCGGGUAUCGAACAGGAUUAGAUACCCUGGUAGUCCGCACAGUAAACGAUGGAUGCCCGCUGUUGGUACCUGGUAUCAGCGGCUAAGCGAAAGCAUUAAGCAUCCCACCUGGGGAGUACGCCGGCAACGGUG
RNAcentral lists this ribosomal RNA (540 nucleotides) under uncultured bacterium. RNAcentral's name for it is "bacterial SSU rRNA". It matches the Rfam family "Bacterial small subunit ribosomal RNA", at positions 355 to 896 of the family's 1533-position model. The record is from RNAcentral.